UCAAGUUAAAGCAUUUGUACCAGUCUUUCUUUGAGAAAUUGAAGAAUCCUCCUCAGCAUUAACUUGGGGUUUCUUUAAGUCCACCAUUACGGAAACAAUUGGAUUUUCUGCCAAGAAACAUUAAGGCUGAUUUGACAAGAAUGACGAGGCACUUUAAGAGUUGAUUGACUGGUGUGGCAACAUGAGAAAUCAAUGGAAAACAGAAUCUUUGAAGUUGACAGCAUCUCUGAUGAAAUCUUCAAGUGACAAGAUUUUCCUGGUUAUAUGAAGGAAGUACCUGGUCUUUUUAAAGUGUGAAGAUUCCCAGAAGUGUGGAAGACAAGAGUUGAAUUUAUGUAGUACAUAAAUGAGGCAUCGAUAUAUGAAAAAUCUUCUAAGAAGUAGCACACAAUUUUGAAUGCAAGUAAACCGAGCUUUCCUGAAUGGUGCAUGCAACUAACGAGCUCAAGCGCUAACAUUCAAGGGUUCUUUACCACCUGGUCCUGACACCAACUGGAAAAAAUACUUCUAAGAAGCCCAUUUACUCUACUAAAGAGGGAUAAGUAAGCCUGUAUCUGGGAACUGUUCAGAGGAGAAGAGACUUAAGGUAAUGGAAGCAGUGAGGAGCAGGGCAGGAUGUUGGAAUUCUUGACUGGAAGCUUCAGUAUCAAGCGGAUGAGAAGGACAGAGCAGUCAUCUCAUUCAUCUACUGAGAAAGGGAUGCCCUCCAAUUCACUGCAGCUCCUAAGAGGACAUUUGAGAUAUCCACUUUUCCA
Odocoileus virginianus texanus is the source of this 755-nucleotide long non-coding RNA. RefSeq lists it as uncharacterized. Lineage: Eukaryota; Metazoa; Chordata; Mammalia; Artiodactyla; Cervidae. The record is from RefSeq and is a predicted model, not a curated record.